This 246-nucleotide ribosomal RNA is filed under the name Enterococcus faecium. RNAcentral describes it as "partial 16S ribosomal RNA". It matches the Rfam family "Bacterial small subunit ribosomal RNA", at positions 1 to 225 of the family's 1533-position model. Lineage: Bacteria; Bacillati; Bacillota; Bacilli; Lactobacillales; Enterococcaceae. The record is from RNAcentral.
UUUUAUGAGAGUUUGAUCCUGGCUCAGGACGAACGCUGGCGGCGUGCCUAAUACAUGCAAGUCGAACGCUUCUUUUUCCACCGGAGCUUGCUCCACCGGAAAAAGAAGAGUGGCGAACGGGUGAGUAACACGUGGGUAACCUGCCCAUCAGAAGGGGAUAACACUUGGAAACAGGUGCUAAUACCGUAUAACAAUCAAAACCGCAUGGUUUUGAUUUGAAAGGCGCUUUCGGGUGUCGCUGAUGGA